GGGAACGGAGGUGGGGGUAGAGAAUGCACGCAUCAGGGUGACGCUCACCCAAAUACAGGAAUCCAUCUUCUUCCAGAUUCCCAACUCGAGAGGGUAGACUACGGCUUAUUUUAGAAUUCUGUUUUCGUAGCAGAUUGAGCAAGCGGUGUAUGCUUAGCGUGUGUGUAUAGAAGGAGGUGGGCAGUGCUUUGAAAGUGACUUCUCUCUCUCUCUCUGGUUUCACUUCUCAUCUCAGAGGGCCGAUAUGGUUUGCAUCUCAAAAGCUCUGUCCAGCUUCUGGCAGGGAAGCAAGGCUGGCUCCUUGUCCCGCCCCCAUCACCAGGAGGCAGACCAUGCCAUGAACUCUCCUUGUGGACUUCUGAAUGUGUCACCUCUGGGCUGAGAAGUCAUUCUUGGAGGUGGCUUAGACUCUGCUGGCCUGGCAGACACUGCUGGUUUUCACCUCACGCCCCUUCACAUCAGCGGCUUUCUUCUCCAGUGACCUGUAGUUUUUGGUGUAAGUGGCCAAGGCAGGUGGACAAAUGUCCGAGAGUGGCCAUUUCUGGGAGUGGCUUUGGUGACGCAGUCCACCUUUUCUUUGUCCCCUGAGUGGGGACAGUACCGCUUUGCCUGAGUCCUCGGCCCUUCCCUGUCCACCGGCUCCCGUAUGCCGCUUCUCUUCCUUCUGCCCUAGUUCACCAAUCAACACAGGGAAGAAAGGGCUCCUCGGGCUUACAGGUGACAGCCCAUUACUGAGGGACAUCAGGGCAGGAACUGAAGCAGAGGACACAAAUGAACGUUCCUUACUAGCUUGCUCAGCCUGCUUUCUUAUACAAGCCAGGACCACGUACUGUGGGGUGGCGGCACCAGCGAGCUGGUCCCUCCUACAUCAAUCAUUAAUCAAGAAAACAUACCACAGACAUGCCCAAGGGCCAGUCUGAUGAAGGCAAUUCCUCAAUUGAGGUUGACUCUUCCCAGGUGAUUGGCGUUUGUGUCCAGUUGGCAAACACCAACUGGCACCCCAUCUCAGUUCCGCAGAAUUGACCAGCAUAGCAUCUCCGUUCCGGGUUCCCCAGCAGACAUCCUGUGCUUACAUUCCAGUCCCAAGAUCAGGUUCUGGGAAACCCCAAGCUGAGAAUUUUGGAUUGUGUUCCCAGGAUACAGCCACUGCAAAAUGGGGUUACUCUCAGUUCGGGUUCUUCCCCCAAGACACGUGGCCCCAGGGACUGGGAGCGCUGUCCACAAAAGGUCUUCAGCUGUCAGUCUCCACCAGGCUUCCUCAGCUGCAAAGGCUGAGGUCUAACCUUGGCUCCAGAGCAGCUCUGAAGGGAUUGUCAAGUUCCAGAGACCCAGAGGGCACAAAGGAAAAAACACAACAAAACAUCUUGAAGUGCAGUACUUGGAUCUGCUGGACACUUUGAAACCAGGAGACUGGAAACCUCCGAGGCAGCCCGAGAAGCAAGCUCCCUCUGACCUUCUCCUGCCCUCCUGUCGCCUCCCUGUCUCCCUCCCCUAAAGUGAAUCAUAGUUCCCAGAAUUCCCCUUCCCCAGAGUGUACCACUGAGACUAGAACACCUCUCCCCCAAAGCCACCUCACAAGGCCACUCUCCCUUCUCCUCUGAAGCCCUCACUCCAGUGGGUCCAGUCUCCUUUCAGGGAGGAAGCAAGGCUGCCCAGAGAGGCCUCACUGGGUCCCCUCUCUGUCUUUUAUAUCAGGUCACACCUUUUGGGCGGAUCCAUUUGCUCAUGGCUAUCUCUUCUUCAUUAAUCAGAAGUGUGAAGACAUUUCCUGGGGGCUUUGGAUCUUCAU
This is a long non-coding RNA of Peromyscus californicus insignis, 1789 nucleotides long. RefSeq lists it as uncharacterized. Lineage: Eukaryota; Metazoa; Chordata; Mammalia; Rodentia; Cricetidae. The transcript is spliced from 3 exons. The record is from RefSeq and is a predicted model, not a curated record.